Molecule: non-coding RNA, 465 nt
Organism: Pelobates cultripes (western spadefoot toad)
Lineage: Eukaryota; Metazoa; Chordata; Amphibia; Anura; Pelobatidae
Source: the annotation of a GenBank genome assembly
CUGUGGUACUGUUGAGAUGUUAUGGAAGACCAGGAUGCUUCAAUAGCGGCCUUCAGCUCUGCAUUAUUCGGUCUCAUGUCUCUCAUCUUUCUCUUGGCGAUGCCAAGACAGGAAAUUCUCUAGAUGCUGUCUCAUCUAAGAUAUAUCCAUCUAAGUCUUCCUGGAAAGCGGUUACUAGAGAGUCAUUAUUCCAUACAACCUCUGAUGUCAAAGUACAGAACUCAAUAGCAAAAUCUGUUACCUUAGCCUUAGAAUGUUAGUUAUGCAAAAAGGCAGAGUGAGUAUACAAGCUGAGGUCAGAGAAUUACAGAGGUAAGGAAUAACGAUUAAACAAGCCGAGGUCAAAGGAUAAGAUAGAGCAGGAUAAAUGAGAGACAAAAGCCAGUCAAGGUACCAAACAACUAAACAGAAGGAAUGCGCUAUUGGACUACCAAGAAACCACAACAGGGCAACAAGGAAUGGGAG